CCUACGGGGGGCAGCAGUGAGGAAUAUUGGUCAAUGGACGAGAGUCUGAACCAGCCAAGUAGCGUGAAGGAUGACUGCCCUAUGGGUUGUAAACUUCUUUUAUAUGGGAAUAAAAUGUUCCACGUGUGGGAUUUUGUAUGUACCAUAUGAAUAAGGAUCGGCUAACUCCGUGCCAGCAGCCGCGGUAAUACGGAGGAGCCGAGAGUUAUCCGGAUUUAUUGGGUUUAAGGGGAGCGUAGGUGGAUUGUUAAGUCAGUUGUGAAAGUUUGCGGCUCAACCGUAAAAUUGCAGUUGAAACUGGCAGGCUUGAGUACAGUAGAGGUGGGCGGAAUUCGUGGUGUAGCGGUGAAAUGCUUAGAUAUCACGAAGAACUCCGAUUGCGAAGGCAGCUCACUGGACUGCAACUGACACUGAGGCUCGAAAGUGUGGGUAUCAAACAGGAUUAGAUACCCGAGUAGUC
This 460-nucleotide ribosomal RNA is filed under the name uncultured bacterium. RNAcentral describes it as "partial 16S ribosomal RNA". It matches the Rfam family "Bacterial small subunit ribosomal RNA", at positions 338 to 795 of the family's 1533-position model. The record is from RNAcentral.